CUUUGGGAUAAGCCUGGAAACUGGGUCUAAUACCGGAUAGGAGCCAUUUUUAGUGUGAUGGUUGGAAAGUUUUUUCGGUGUAGGAUGAGCUCGCGGCCUAUCAGCUAGUUGGUGAGGUAAUGGCUCACCAAGGCGACGAUCCGUAACUGGUCUGAGAGGAUGAUCAGUCACACUGGAACUGAGACACGGUCCAGACUCCUACGGGAGGCAGCAGUGGGGAAUAUUGCACAAUGGGCGCAAGCCUGAUGCAGCGACGCCGCGUGGGGGAUGACGGCCUUCGGGUUGUAAACCUCUUUCAGCAGGGACGAAGCGAAAGUGACGGUACCUGCAGAAGAAGCACCGGCCAACUACGUGCCAGCAGCCGCGGUAAUACGUAGGGUGCGAGCGUUGUCCGGAAUUACUGGGCGUAAAGAGCUCGUAGGUGGUUUGUCGCGUCGUUUGUGGAAUACCGCAGCUUAACUGCGGGGUUGCAGGCGAUACGGGCAUAACUUGAGUGCUGUAGGGGAGACUGGAAUUCCUGGUGUAGCGGUGGAAUGCGCAGAUAUCAGGAGGAACACCGGUGGCGAAGGCGGGUCUCUGGGCAACAACUGACGCUGAGGAGCGAAAGCGUGGGGAGCGAACAGGAUUAGAUACCCUGGUAGUCCAUGCCGUAAACGGUGGGCGCUAGGUGUGAGUCCCUUCCACGGGGUUCGUGCCGUAGCUAACGCAUUAAGCGCCCCGCCUGGGGAGUACGGCCGCAAGGCUAAAACUCAAAGGAAUUGACGGGGGCCCGCACAAGCA
RNAcentral lists this ribosomal RNA (780 nucleotides) under Aplanochytrium sp. PBS07. RNAcentral describes it as "partial Bacterial small subunit ribosomal RNA". It matches the Rfam family "Bacterial small subunit ribosomal RNA", at positions 136 to 931 of the family's 1533-position model. The record is from RNAcentral. Lineage: Eukaryota; Bigyra; Thraustochytrida; Thraustochytriidae.